This 493-nucleotide ribosomal RNA is filed under the name uncultured bacterium. RNAcentral's name for it is "bacterial SSU rRNA". It matches the Rfam family "Bacterial small subunit ribosomal RNA", at positions 20 to 507 of the family's 1533-position model. The record is from RNAcentral.
UGGCUCAGGAUGAACGCUGGCGGCGUGCCUAAUACAUGCAAGUCGAACGAAGGUAGCAAUACCUUAGUGGCGAACGGGUGAGUAACACGUAGGUAACCUGCCUUUCAGUUUGGGAUAACCGAGGGAAACUUUGGCUAAUACCGAAUACGCGCUUCGAAGGCAUCUUCGAAGCAUAAAAGGGGCCUUUAAAGCCUCGCUGAUUGAUGGACCUGCGGCGCAUUAGUUAGUUGGUGAGAUAACAGCCCACCAAGACGAGGAUGCGUAGCCGACCUGAGAGGGUGAACGGCCACACUGGAACUGAGACACGGUCCAGACUCCUACGGGAGGCAGCAGUAGGGAGUUUUCGGCAAUGGGGGAAACCCUGACCGAGCAACGCCGCGUGAGUGAUGAAGGUCUUCGGAUCGUAAAGCUCUGUUAUAGAGGAAGAACGGCAACUAGAGGAAAUGCUAGUUGUUUGACGGUACUUUAUGAGAAAGCCACGGCUAACUACGUG